This 69-nucleotide small RNA is filed under the name Escherichia coli O127:H6. RNAcentral describes it as "sRNA, regulator of yejABEF". The stretch from base 13 to 69 matches the Rfam family "rydB RNA". Rfam says of the family: This family consists of several bacterial sequences from E. coli, Shigella flexneri and Salmonella species. This RNA gene was discovered by an RNA screen between the ydiC and ydiH in E. coli. Lineage: Bacteria; Pseudomonadati; Pseudomonadota; Gammaproteobacteria; Enterobacterales; Enterobacteriaceae. RNAcentral also lists the same sequence under 1 other name. The record is from RNAcentral.
AUUAUCCUUAUUGCCCCUUCAAGAGCUAAGCCACUGUGAGUGCCGGAGAUAAGCGCCGGAUGGGGUAGA